GCCCGGCUAGCUCAGUCGGUAGAGCAUGAGACUAUUAAUCUCAGGGUCGUGGGUUCGAGCCCCACGUUCGGCG
This 73-nucleotide transfer RNA is filed under the name Rhipicephalus microplus (southern cattle tick). Its description in RNAcentral is "tRNA-Asn". It matches the Rfam family "tRNA". From Rfam's summary of the family: Transfer RNA (tRNA) molecules are approximately 80 nucleotides in length. Their secondary structure includes four short double-helical elements and three loops (D, anti-codon, and T loops). Further hydrogen bonds mediate the characteristic L-shaped molecular structure. tRNAs have two regions of fundamental functional importance: the anti-codon, which is responsible for specific mRNA codon recognition, and the 3' end, to which the tRNAs corresponding amino acid is attached (by aminoacyl-tRNA synthetases). tRNAs cope with the degeneracy of the genetic code in two manners: having more than one tRNA (with a specific anti-codon) for a particular amino acid; and 'wobble' base-pairing, i.e. permitting non-standard base-pairing at the 3rd anti-codon position. Lineage: Eukaryota; Metazoa; Arthropoda; Arachnida; Ixodida; Ixodidae. The record is from Rfam by way of RNAcentral.